Molecule: ribosomal RNA, 401 nt
Filed under: uncultured bacterium
Lineage: Bacteria
Description: bacterial SSU rRNA
Rfam family: Bacterial small subunit ribosomal RNA
Source: RNAcentral
GGGGAAUAUUGCGCAAUGGGGGAAACCCUGACGCAGCAACGCCGCGUGGAGGAAGAAGGUCUUCGGAUUGUAAACUCCUGUCUUCUGGGACGAAAAAUGACGGUACCAGAGGAGGAAGCCACGGCUAACUACGUGCCAGCAGCCGCGGUAAUACGUAGGUGGCAAGCGUUGUCCGGAAUUAUUGGGCGUAAAGGGCGCGUAGGCGGCAGCCUAAGUCAGAUGUGAAACCCCGGGGCUUAACUCCGGACGUGCAUUUGAAACUGGGUAGCUAGAGUGCAGGAGAGGAAAGCGGAAUUCCUAGUGUAGCGGUGAAAUGCGUAGAUAUUAGGAGGAACACCAGUGGCGAAGGCGGCUUUCUGGACUGUAACUGACGCUGAGGCGCGAAAGCGUGGGGAGCAAAC